RNAcentral lists this ribosomal RNA (429 nucleotides) under Chloroflexota bacterium. Its description in RNAcentral is "Chloroflexi bacterium partial 16S ribosomal RNA". It matches the Rfam family "Bacterial small subunit ribosomal RNA", at positions 355 to 776 of the family's 1533-position model. Lineage: Bacteria; Bacillati; Chloroflexota. The record is from RNAcentral.
UGGGGAAUAUUGCACAAUGGGCGCAAGCCUGAUGCAGCCAUGCCGCGUGUGUGAAGAAGGCCGUCGGGUUGUAAAGUACCUUCAGCGGGGAGGAAGGCGAUAAGGUUAAUAACCUUGUCGAUUGACGUUACCCGCAGAAGAAGCACCGGCUAACUCCGUGCCAGCAGCUGCGGUAAUACGGAGGGUGCAAGCGUUAAUCGGAAUUACUGGGCGUAAAGCGCACGCAGGCGGUUUGUUAAGUCAGAUGUGUAAUCCCCGGGCUCAACCUGGGAACUGCAUCUGAUACUGGUAAGCUUGAGUCUCGUAGAGGGGGGUAGAAUUCCAGGUGUAGCGGUGAAGUGCGUAGAGAUCUGGAGGAAUACCGGUGGCUAAGGCGGCCCCCUAGACGAAGACUGACGCUCAGGUGCGAAAGCGUGGGGAGCAAACAGG